RNAcentral lists this ribosomal RNA (467 nucleotides) under uncultured bacterium. RNAcentral describes it as "partial 16S ribosomal RNA". It matches the Rfam family "Bacterial small subunit ribosomal RNA", at positions 28 to 507 of the family's 1533-position model. The record is from RNAcentral.
GACGAACGCUGGCGGCGUGCUUAACACAUGCAAGUCGAACGGAAAGGCCCUGCUUUUGUGGGGUGCUCGAGUGGCGAACGGGUGAGUAACACGUGAGUAACCUGCCCUUGACUUUGGGAUAACUUCAGGAAACUGGGGCUAAUACCGGAUAGGAGCUCCUGCUGCAUGGUGGGGGUUGGAAAGUUUCGGCGGUUGGGGAUGGACUCGCGGCUUAUCAGCUUGUUGGUGGGGUAGUGGCUUACCAAGGCUUUGACGGGUAGCCGGCCUGAGAGGGUGACCGGCACCAUUGGGCUGCGGUACGGGCCAGGCCUCAAACGGGGGCAAGCGGGGGGAAUAUUGCACAAUGGGCGGAAGCCUGAUGCAGCAACGCCGCGUGCGGGAUGACGGCCUUCGGGUUGUAAACCGCUUUCGCCUGUGACGAAGCGUGAGUGACGGUAAUGGGUAAAGAAGCACCGGCUAACUACGUG